This is a long non-coding RNA of Oncorhynchus masou masou (cherry salmon), 432 nucleotides long. RefSeq lists it as uncharacterized. The record is from RefSeq and is a predicted model, not a curated record. Lineage: Eukaryota; Metazoa; Chordata; Actinopteri; Salmoniformes; Salmonidae. The transcript has 3 exons.
GUUUUAUAGUAUUCCAUGGCCUUCACUGGCCAACUACUGUCAUGUUUAUGAUGUACUAUGGUGUUGUGUCACUAGACUUUGACCAGAUAUUAUUGCAUCCAAAGAUCAACUGAACCUAGAACAUAGAUACAGAGACACUUGUCAUCAGGAAGGUGAUCUCUCAGCACAACGGAAAAUAUCUCAAUGACUUGACAUGUUCUGGUUGUGAAUUCAGGCUACAAGGGGUCAGUGCUCUAAAAUGAGUCUCUCUGGGGAGAGAGAGGAGGUGGGCCCUGCCUCUAAAAUGCAUCUCUCUGGGGGACAUGACACCAAAGCUAAGAGACCAAUCAAGCAGGAGAGACCAGCCUCCCCUGUUCCCAGCUGUGUGUCCAUGAAGAGUGACUGGUCUAUGGAACUUCCUCUAUACUUUAGAAAGGGAGACUUUUCUACUGA